RNAcentral lists this ribosomal RNA (922 nucleotides) under uncultured bacterium. RNAcentral's name for it is "bacterial SSU rRNA". It matches the Rfam family "Bacterial small subunit ribosomal RNA", at positions 1 to 916 of the family's 1533-position model. The record is from RNAcentral.
CCUUAGAGUUUGAUCCUGGCUCAGGAUGAACGCUAGCUACAGGCUUAACACAUGCAAGUCGAGGGGAAACGACAUCGAAAGCUUGCUUUUGAUGGGCGUCGACCGGCGCACGGGUGAGUAACGCGUAUCCAACCUGCCCACCACUUGGGGAUAACCUUGCGAAAGUAAGACUAAUACCCAAUGACGUCUCUAGAAGACAUCUGAAAGGGAUUAAAGAUUUAUCGGUGAUGGAUGGGGAUGCGUCUGAUUAGCUUGUUGGCGGGGUAACGGCCCACCAAGGCGACGAUCAGUAGGGGUUCUGAGAGGAAGGUCCCCCACAUUGGAACUGAGACACGGUCCAAACUCCUACGGGAGGCAGCAGUGAGGAAUAUUGGUCAAUGGGCGAGAGCCUGAACCAGCCAAGUAGCGUGCAGGAUGACGGCCCUAUGGGUUGUAAACUGCUUUUAUAAGGGAAUAAAGUGAGUCUCGUGAGACUUUUUGCAUGUACCUUAUGAAUAAGGACCGGCUAAUUCCGUGCCAGCAGCCGCGGUAAUACGGAAGGUCCGGGCGUUAUCCGGAUUUAUUGGGUUUAAAGGGAGCGUAGGCCGGAGAUUAAGCGUGUUGUGAAAUGUAGACGCUCAACGUCUGCACUGCAGCGCGAACUGGUUUCCUUGAGUACGCACAAAGUGGGCGGAAUUCGUGGUGUAGCGGUGAAAUGCUUAGAUAUCACGAAGAACUCCGAUUGCGAAGGCAGCUCACUGGAGCGCAACUGACGCUGAAGCUCGAAAGUGCGGGUAUCGAACAGGAUUAGAUACCCUGGUAGUCCGCACGGUAAACGAUGGAUGCCCGCUGUUGGUCUGAAUAGGUCAGCGGCCAAGCGAAAGCAUUAAGCAUCCCACCUGGGGAGUACGCCGGCAACGGUGAAACUCAAAGGAAUUGACGG